UACGUAGGGCGCGAGCGUUAUCCGGAAUGAUUGGGCGUAAAGCGUCCGCAGGUGGCUGUGUAAGUCUGCUGUUAAAUAGUGAGGCUCAACCUCAUAAAGGCAGUGGAAACUACACGGCUAGAGUGCGUUCGGGGCAGAGGGAAUUCCUGGUGUAGCGGUGAAAUGCGUAGAGAUCAGGAAGAACACCGGUGGCGAAAGCGCUCUGCUAGGCCGCAACUGACACUGAGGGACGAAAGCUAGGGGAGCGAAUGGG
RNAcentral lists this ribosomal RNA (253 nucleotides) under uncultured bacterium. RNAcentral describes it as "partial 16S ribosomal RNA". It matches the Rfam family "Bacterial small subunit ribosomal RNA", at positions 524 to 776 of the family's 1533-position model. The record is from RNAcentral.